AUACAUGCAAGUCGAGCGGAUCGAUGGGAGCUUGCUCCCUGAGAUCAGCGGCGGACGGGUGAGUAACACGUGGGUAACCUGCCUGUAAGACUGGGAUAACUCCGGGAAACCGGGGCUAAUACCGGAUAACACCUACCCCCGCAUGGGGGAAGGUUGAAAGGUGGCUUCGGCUAUCACUUACAGAUGGACCCGCGGCGCAUUAGCUAGUUGGUGAGGUAAUGGCUCACCAAGGCGACGAUGCGUAGCCGACCUGAGAGGGUGAUCGGCCACACUGGGACUGAGACACGGCCCAGACUCCUACGGGAGGCAGCAGUAGGGAAUCUUCCGCAAUGGACGAAAGUCUGACGGAGCAACGCCGCGUGAGUGAAGAAGGUUUUCGGAUCGUAAAACUCUGUUGUUAGGGAAGAACAAGUGCCGUUCGAAUAGGGCGGCGCCUUGACGGUACCUAACCAGAAAGCCACGGCUAACUACGUGCCAGCAGCCGCGGUAAUACGUAGGUGGCAAGCGUUGUCCGGAAUUAUUGGGCGUAAAGCGCGCGCAGGUGGUUUCUUAAGUCUGAUGUGAAAGCCCACGGCUCAACCGUGGAGGGUCAUUGGAAACUGGGGAACUUGAGUGCAGAAGAGGAAAGUGGAAUUCCAAGUGUAGCGGUGAAAUGCGUAGAUAUUUGGAGGAACACCAGUGGCGAAGGCGACUUUCUGGUCUGUAACUGACACUGAGGCGCGAAAGCG
RNAcentral lists this ribosomal RNA (728 nucleotides) under Rossellomorea marisflavi. Its description in RNAcentral is "bacterial SSU rRNA". It matches the Rfam family "Bacterial small subunit ribosomal RNA", at positions 51 to 761 of the family's 1533-position model. The record is from RNAcentral. Lineage: Bacteria; Bacillati; Bacillota; Bacilli; Caryophanales; Bacillaceae.